This 774-nucleotide ribosomal RNA is filed under the name uncultured Neocallimastigales. Its description in RNAcentral is "partial large subunit ribosomal RNA". It matches the Rfam family "Eukaryotic large subunit ribosomal RNA", at positions 24 to 646 of the family's 3401-position model. The record is from RNAcentral. Lineage: Eukaryota; Fungi; Neocallimastigomycota; Neocallimastigomycetes; Neocallimastigales.
GUAGUCUCGCACAGAUGCAUAUCAAUAAGCGGAGGAAAAGAAACUAACAAGGAUUCCCCUAGUAACGGCGAGUGAAGCGGGAAGAGCUCAAAUUUGAAAUCUUAAAGGGUUUCCCUUUACGAAUUGUAGUUUAAAGAAGUGUUUUCUGUUGAGGUUUUGGUAAAAGUUCUUUGGAAUAGGACAUCAUAGAGGGUGAGAAUCCCGUAUUUGACCUUUACUUUCAGCUUUGUGAUACACUUUCAAAGAGUCGGAUUGUUUGGGAAUGCAGUCCAAAAUGGGUGGUAAAUUUCAUCUAAAGCUAAAUAUUGGCGAGAGACCGAUAGCGAACAAGUACCGUGAGGGAAAGAUGAAAAGAACUUUGAAAAGAGAGUUAAACAGUACGUGAAAUUGUCAAAAGGGAAGCGUUUGACACCAGUGUUGUUUUUCUGAAAAUCAAUUAAAGAACUGUUUAUGCUAAGUUGUUUAGACUUUAUCAGCUAUCUGUUUAGUUUUGAGCUUUUCUUUAAUGCACUUUUCAGUUAACAAGUCAACAUCAAUUUCUUUUGCUGUAAAAAAGCUUGAGGAAGGUGGCUUGAGAUUCGUCUUAAGUGUUUAUAGCCUCUUGCCUAUGCAGUCGGAGAGAUUGAGGUCUGCAGCGUAGAUCCUUCGGGGCUAAAUGCAUUUGUGCUAAGUUAUAACAUUUUAUAGACAACUUGUUGACUAUGAUUUGUCUUGUAGCUUACUCGCUUAUGUUAUUUUACCUACGCUUAGGAUGUUGAUCUGUAGUGCGUGCGC